This 81-nucleotide microRNA precursor is filed under the name Bombyx mori (domestic silkworm). RNAcentral's name for it is "mir-2807 microRNA precursor family". It matches the Rfam family "mir-2807 microRNA precursor family". The record is from Rfam by way of RNAcentral. Lineage: Eukaryota; Metazoa; Arthropoda; Insecta; Lepidoptera; Bombycidae.
UUAUCGAUAACGUAAAAGUUGGAACGCUUGCCUACGUUUGCCGCUAGGGACGCUGUUCCAACUGCAUACAAAUUUGAGUUA